AGGAUCCAAAAUGAGAUGGGGCUGGUGAUGAUUUGUUUAGAGAGCUAUGGAGGCUGUGUGCAGGGCCAUUAAUGGAUGUUCCUUGUGUUCAAGACAGAGUUUUCUAUUUCCCUCAAGGUCAUAUUGAAUUGUUUCCAGAACCUACAGAACAAGAUUUGAGGCAGAUGAAGAACCAGAAAUCUCCCAAAUACGAUCUUCCAUCGAAGAUCUUAUGUCGUGUUAUCGAUGUUAAGUGUCUGGUAAUGUUUAUCUUUUUUUGGUUCCUUAUGUUGUGUUAUGUGUUCUUGAUUGGUAAUGUUUAUCUAAUAAUUCUCAGUCCUGAUUUUUGUGAAUCUACUUCAAGUUUCAAAUGACACUUUCAA
Arachis ipaensis is the source of this 362-nucleotide non-coding RNA. The record is from RefSeq and is a predicted model, not a curated record. NCBI's taxonomy places the organism in Eukaryota, Viridiplantae, Streptophyta, Magnoliopsida, Fabales, Fabaceae.